Molecule: long non-coding RNA, 1861 nt
Organism: Salvelinus fontinalis (brook trout)
Lineage: Eukaryota; Metazoa; Chordata; Actinopteri; Salmoniformes; Salmonidae
Exons: 4
Source: RefSeq, a predicted model, not a curated record
CAGGUUCUACGGGGGAGCAGUCAAAGACGGAAGGGGUUCUUUGCAUAAUAAAGUUUGAGUUCACAGGAGUCCACCAAGAGUCACUGCCGGAGUUGGCCCAGCUGGUGCACGGUCAAGCCCAGGGCAAGCAGCAAACAUGGAGGAGCUGUCCUGGAGCCCUGUACAAACCAAUACACAACAGCAAGGGCCAGGAAUGUCAGGGACUUCAUUGUUCGGGCUGUCCCCCCUGAAAGUAAAUGACGUAAGACUGGACGAGGUGACUGGCUUCUAUCCCUGCCGCAGUUGUGCAGCAUGUAAGGAUUCCUGUAACAAAGCCCUCAAUCGGACUCUGAUGAGCAGCCCGGUAGCUGUCUGAGAUAGUCCCAAGCCUACUCAAUGCUGAUUGCAGCCAAGCUCUUGCCUCUGGGAACCCCAGGCGCAGAAAAAGACCCUGUGCACGCACUGGUCAGUAUACAAUAUUGUUUACUACAAUUGUCAUUAAAGUUUAGUUGGUUAUGCUACACAAGGAAAGACAGCAUUCUCAUUCAUGACCUCAGUUUUUUUUUAAGCAUCCAUAAAGAGAUGUAUGGACGGAAGUAAAGCUAACAAAGAUGCACGAGAAAUGGCUGAAGGCAGAGGAGGAGAAACGGAGGAGGCAUGAUAAAUGAGGAGGUGGAAUGCAAGUUGUGAGAAAAGUGGUGGUUGUAUGACGACAACAACAAAUUGUAACAGAUGAUGGCUCGUCACAUAGAGAUGAUGGAACAACAGAUGAUUGCCGUUAUGAACAUACACCGGCCCCUCUUCCAUGAGUAGUGCUGCAUUGCUGCUUAAUGGUCCUGAACCUAUGGGCAGCACUACAUCACACGGCUUCAGACAACCGUCAGAAGUAGUCCCGCCACAAAAUGUAUAGGUGUAUUUCAACUUCAGAACUUUUUACUUAUUUCCUCCGCUUUGUAUUAGUUUAUAGUGCUUUGCAUUGAUUUUACAUUAAAGUUUGACUCUUUAAAUCAGUUUUAUUUUGGAAUAAUUUGCCUUUUUAUCAGUUUGAUCGAAAAGGUAUGCAUAUAUUACACAUGUAGUUUUAUGUACAGCUUUGGGAAUGUAGUCAUACAUUUUCAUGUUGAACAAUUAUUAUUAAUCUUUUAAAUGUGAUGAAAAUUCCUGAGGAUUUUUUUGCAGGUACAUUUUGAAACUUUCUAGAUUUUUUUUUAAUGUUAAUGUCAUGGACUGUCAGGCCUGCAUUCAUAACUCAAUCUAUGCAUUUGAGAGUGAUUACAUUUCUCAAGCCCAAUCCCAAAGCUUUAUAGCAACAAUGUGGCUGGGCUGCCAUUUGGCUUAAACUAUUAUAGCGUGUGGUUUUCAAAUGCUACAAUGCAACGGCUUUCACAUCACAUUGUUUAAGGUAAAUCAUCCUUUAACAUAUGCAUUUAAUUAACUCAAAUGACAAGAAUUCUAGGUGAGGAAAUGCAGUGGUAGCUUCUUUUUCCUUUGUCUCAAUCAGUGGCGACACGUCAUUCAGAGCAACAACAAAAUAAUAUAUAUAAUUUUUGCCUGUUUUGCAUGUCAUUUUGGCACUAAUACGUGUCCCAUAUCAGUUUGCAAACAAUGUAAAACAAAAGAAUCAUUGAGUUAAUAAAGCCGCAUACAAACAUGGUCGCUUUUUUUGCUUUCUUGAGUAAGGCAAUCCCGAAAUGCAGGUGUUUCAGCCUAGCUCAGAGCCUUUUGUGGUGGUGUGGCAGCCAGCGGAAAAUACGGAGCGUAGGGGUUGGCAACGUUCUCUAGUUGCGCCGUGAUUGGCUCAGGGUUCUGUCACUCAUGGGGACACUACGUCACCGCAAAAUGUAUGGGCAGAGCUAUAAAAUUCAAGCCCCUUGGGUGCUGC